ACUGAGGAAAUCAGCAGGGCGAGUCGAACAGAUGAGAUGGGCAAAGAGAAGCAGAUAUGAGCUGAGGGAGAGAGACUCAAUGAACCACGAGAGGUGGGCAAAGAAAGCAGCCAGUCCUGAGGUUUCAGGUCCAAGGAACACCACGAUGACAUCCCGCCUGAACAAGGACCAGAACUGCCUCAUGACGGGAACAUCUUAUCAAUAUCCUACCGGGCAGCAAGCCAUACUGCCCAGACCCCUCCCGCCCAUACCUAUAAAUUACCCCAGCCUGUAAGCAGCGGUAGGCACUGGCGUUAGGCUGGUCCCCGACUUCUACAGUGUGCAUAUUUCUUUAACCCUCGCCUUCCCUUCAAAACCUAACAGGGAUCAG
Molecule: long non-coding RNA, 370 nt
Filed under: Pan troglodytes (chimpanzee)
Lineage: Eukaryota; Metazoa; Chordata; Mammalia; Primates; Hominidae
Description: long non-coding RNA NONPTRT017389
Source: RNAcentral